Pelobates cultripes (western spadefoot toad) is the source of this 533-nucleotide non-coding RNA. NCBI's taxonomy places the organism in Eukaryota, Metazoa, Chordata, Amphibia, Anura, Pelobatidae. The record is from the annotation of a GenBank genome assembly.
GACAAACUGCGUGGGCAAUUGGAGGCGGUUUUUUUGCUGCCCCUGUAAAGUUCUGCCCAAGGCAAAUACCUUGUUUGCCUCGUGUAAGAUACAUCACUGACAGCGCGUUCUGUAUUCCCAUUUUUCUAGGGGUCGUUUGUAGUAUCUGGUCCACUGCAAGGGCUAUGGGCCUGAGUAGCGUUCUUGGUUAGGGCAUUGCGGAUCUCCAUGCACCGUGCUUGAUGCGCCGUUUUCAUUCUGCACAUCCUGGUAAACCAUGUGGUUCCUGCCCUUUGGGCGGAGUUAAGUAAGAGAGUACUGUAAUAAGUAGGACUGCCACGCGGAGCUUGCAGGCUCAUGGGGGUGGCACGUUGCACGGGGGCGAACGCUAUGUUCCUGGAUACCUCCAGCACGGAGGUCACGCAGCGUUCUCCCCACAGAAGGGCAGAUAGCUCUGCACUAUCUGCGAGAUUUACAUGGCAUGGCAACAUUGCGCCACCUACAGGUGUUAUUUGAAAUUACAGGACCCUGUAGGUGUUACACUUUAUACUCAC